This 17636-nucleotide long non-coding RNA is filed under the name Populus tremula. RNAcentral's name for it is "long non-coding RNA (PTRE_LNC001486)". The record is from RNAcentral. Lineage: Eukaryota; Viridiplantae; Streptophyta; Magnoliopsida; Malpighiales; Salicaceae.
GCAUUUCACUGACGGAAUCCCAGUAACCUGCUCUAAUCCAGGUUUCUUGGGAGUUUGAGCUGUGAACAUAGGAAGAUAGAAAGAGAAGGAGGGUGAUGAUCAUAGUGUUGCAAGCCAUUGAAGAAGAAGCUUACUUUUGCAACCCCAGCAGGACUCCUAAUCUGUAUCCGUGAGAAGUGAAACUCUUGGAUCUGGGGCCUCGUACUUUUCUGAAAGGUUAUUUGCUUGAAGUGUAAUAAACGAGAAUGUUUUUAGUCUUGCCAGUUAACGUGCAGUCUGUGUUUUUUCCUAGAAGGGACAAUCAAUGCUCAAUUAGUUAUCACCUUGAUCAUGUUGCCAUGUGGUAGGACGAAAAAAAAAAAACUAUAAGCUUUUUUAAUAUUUUUUGUUUUGUUUUUAUACAUGGUUUGGUGGCACCUUGUAGUUGUUAUUGUACAACGCUAUUUCCAGUCAAUUUUUACAUCCUAAAAAUUCAACCUUUCUUUUUAAUUUUGUCAAAGAAAGAUUAUUUAUAUCGAUGUUAGAAAAUUCAAGAAAAUUUCGCUUCCAAAAUGACUGGAUUUUGAUGAGAUAUAAAAGUGACGAUCCUAAAAUACCUGAUAGAAAGUCUAGUGAUUUGACCAGCUUAGCGUGUCCACAUUCCAUUGAUUCUUAGUUUUGAGGUCCAUCCAAACGAAUCAUUCUUUGCAUUAUCAAGUUAUAGUUCAUAUUGGAGUCCGGUUACUUUUAUUUUUUAAAUUUUAAAGUAUUUUUUAUAUUAAAAUAUAUUAAAAUAAUAAUUUUUAUUUUAUAAAAAAUAUUUUUAAAACCAGUGCAUUAAUACGAUACAAAAUAUAAAAGAAAUUAAUUUUUUAUAAAAAAAUAAUUUCAAACAUUUUCUUAAAGUAUUUUAAACUUGAAAUUUAUCUUAUUUUUUUAUUUAAUUUUAAAUAAAUAAAUAAAUAAAAAUAAUAAAAUUUAAAUAUAUAUUUAUUUGAUUGUUAGUUUUUAUUUAGUUUUGAUACUAAAUAAAAAAACUAUUUUUGCUUGUGCUAAGACCCCAGCAAAAAGGGAUGUGCUAGGAAGUUUUCAGUUACUUGCACAAGUACGUUUUGGCUUGCUCUUUGACAGGUGUCCUAAUUUCCCUCUUCAGACCAGAGAUGCUGAAACAUCUCGUCUUUCCCCUCUUUUAGCUGUUUGCAACCUCCACCUUGUGCAAAAGAAAGCAAGGAAAAUGAUGGUGCCAACAAAAAAAAGUCAUAACCGAGCCUGGCUGACAAGAGUCUCAACCGAGGCUGCCAACCACGAGCCCAACCGAGCUUGUCCUAAGCUCAACUCAACUGUUACGGGUUAUUUUUCGCUUCGUGAAUAAAAUCGUGUGGCAGUUCAAUUCCUCACUAAACUCAGCUUUUUCUUAUCAAUCUCAUUCAUGUUUAUCUAAUAACUAAGUAUUUUCUUGACGUAAGAGAUUUCUCUACUUUUCCAAAUUAAAAAACAAGUGAAAUAUACAAGUAUAUUGCACGCCACAAAGCAAAGCACACCGAAAAUACAAGAAGAACUCCAAUCCUUUAUUUAUCUCGUUAAUAAAAGAUUACACAAUGAGUAUGUUUGUUAUGCACAAAAAUCGUAUGCUACACAGCCAAGCUUACACACGUUAUUUCCUUCUACAAACAAGAGUUGUAAACAACUAUUUAUAGCCAAGUAUGUGAGCUGCAAGGCACACCUAUAAUCUCUAUUUUUAAGGAUUUAGUGGGACAUUUUCUCCCUCGUGAUCUCCAUGAUCUUAGUGGCCUAUUUUCUAGCAAGUAGUGCACAGUUGUUGCCCAUGAUCCCAUGAUCCAGUAGCGGGUAGAGCAAUCUCCUUGAUUAGCCCCCACGUUUUGCCCAAUGAUCCCAUGAUCUAGAAAGUUCAUAACUCCCACUCACCCGCAUUCUUGCAUGCAUACCUGGCAACCCCAACUACCAGUUCUUGUGCUGUUGAGUCACUUGUAUGUCUUGGACAAUCCUUUGUCCAAGUCUUAGAUCGUGCUAAGUCGAACCCAUGACUUGCACAAGCUGUUGUGCACUGUCGAAUUCGCAUCUACGUGCAAGCUGCCAAUUCCUGCGCUGUUAAAUUCCGCGAUAGCCCCAGUUCUUGUCAACCUAUCUCCUUGAUGAGUUUUCCUGCUUAGCCUAGAUAUUCCAUCGUCCAGCCUAUGUUUGUCAAUAAUCUACAUUAUUGAUUUUUCUUUGAUGAAUCUACAACUAGACAAAUCUGCUGCCAGUACCUUUAGAUACUGUUUUGAAUAGUCUUUUAAAGUGUGCACACACUGUUUUGAAUAGUCUUUUAAAGUGUGCACCACAUGCGCGUUUAACGGUGUUACACUAACCCUUUUAAUUUUCAAACGAACCCUUUUUUCCCGAACUCAACCUAACCCUCUCAUCUUUUAAUCGAAUCCUCUCUUUCUUGGCACAACUUAACCUUCACGUUUCCCGACCCAACUUUUAUAUUUUGACAGGGAAUUUAUUUCGCAGGCGAGUCAGUUGAAAAGCUAAAAUCUAGUAUGAGAAAGUCUCACGACUUCAUAGAAAAAAGAGAGAGGAAAGAGUGGAAACACAUUCAGGAGACAUCUGUGCUAAUAUUUGACCUGCGAAGCUUCUUGAAAGAAGCAUCAUUUGAGAAGUCAGCCACAGCUAUUUUGAUAAAACUUGUUGCGUGGGCUGGCAUCAAUAUAAUUCCACGUUCAAGAUUUCAAUCUAGAAAAGGAAUUGAUAACUUGUAGGGUCGCCAGAAUUGUCUUAGUACGUGAAGACUUUUGUGUAAGACUUGUGGUGGCCUUUGAUACGUCGACAGGAGCAGUCUAUCAAAGUUUUUUUCAUAUAAAUUUUAUUUUGCUAUGACUGAUGAAUUUUAGCGGUAUCAAAAAGGUGGCCUGAAGGAGGAAUUUGAGUCCUAGCAAAAAGGGAGAGCCGAACCCGAAUCUUUAUCGUUAAAUAUCACAACUAAAAUGCAAAUAUAUAAUCAUACACCUUUAUUUCGACAUUAUAACUUUACGUAUAGCAAGGUGUCCCAACACAUAAGGCCAGUGAGCAAAUUUAUUCAGAACUAACUGCUUAGUGGAAAGAGGCAUAUUGCAUGGCAUUAUAGUUCAGUUACGGAGUUGUUUGAUAAUAAUCUAGAAAAAACACAACGAGCUUGCUGUUCAAGUCUGUAAACAGAUUUAGCAUUUGCUUCAAGCUUCUGCAAGAAAGUACUUCCUCAUCGCCCGACGACUUGCGAGAUUGUUGCAUCAUCAACUGAACAAAUAUUUAAGUGCAAUUGCUCAGGUCUGUUUUCGUCAUCUUCAUCUGUCCUCACAGAAAAAGCAGGCCUUUUGGGAAUGGUCACAAUGGCAGUUUCGUUUUUGAGCAUUGAAGAAACUUCCACCAUAGACGGCCUAUCAAUAGGAUUUUCUUGGACACAUAGCAGUGCAAUUUGCAAGCAUUUGAUCAAUUUACAAGAGGACAAUGUGUCAUCCAGCGAUGGAUCCAUGAUCUCCAUGCCUUUACCAUCUUUCCACAGCUCGUAAGCCUGCAAUUAACAAAAAUCAUAAUCAUGCAUGACAAAUGCAAAAUCUAAAAUAUCGUCAGUUGUGUUCUCAAGAAACUUACAUAUUCUAGGAGGCUUAAAUUUUCACCAGAACCAUACAAGGAGCCAUUCUUCUUGCCGCUUAUGAUAUGCAGUAGUACCACUCCAAAACUGUAAACAUCAGAUUUUAUGGAAUACACGCCGUUUCUGACGUAUUCCGGAGGAACAUAACCGCUGCACAGGAUGAUUUCAUUCACAAUGUUAAGUUUUCAAAAAUAAUUUAUGUAUGAAAUGAAUUUGUGCAUGAGGCUUACUAUGUCCCAACAACCCGGCUAGUGUUUGCUUCUUGUUCAUCUUUUGUGAAAAUUCUAGCCAUACCAAAAUCAGAUAUCUUAGGCUUCAUAUCCCCAUCCAGUAAAAUGUUGCUGGCUUUCAAGUCUCGAUGGAUAAUUGUCAGUCUCGAAUAUUCUUGGAGGUACAGAAGGCCUUGAGUUAUCCCUUCAAUGAUUUCUGCCCUUUUCUUCCAAUCCAACAAAUAUCGCCUAAUCGGAUCUGUCAUAUCAGAUAACAAACUAUCAAGGCUAUAAGCAUUUUCGAUCUUACUGACACGAACAUGCAUAAGAAUGUCGGAAAUUGUAAUGCAAUGAAAGACUAGAUCACACUCAAAUCUUUUUUUAUUUCUGUAAAGCGAAGCAUAAAAGGAUGCUGAGUGCUAACCAUAUAGGUAACAGUCCAGGCUUUUUUUUGGCAUGUACUCAUAGAUCAGCACCUUCUCUUCUCUGCCAACGCAAAAUCCCAAAACUUUCACGAGAUUUACAUGUUGUAAUUUUGCAGUGAGCAUAACCUCAUUCUUGAAUUCAUCAAAUCCUUGAGUAGAGGAUUUCGAAAGUUUUUUCACUGCUAUUUCUUGUCCACCUGGUAAAACACCCUGGAAAAACAGAAUGUCAUGCUAAUUUCUUUCACUCAAAGACUGAAAUCUGAAUGCUUGAAGAAUUUUAAUGAGUUUUCGGUAUAUUUUCAUCACAAUAGAAAAAGAAUUGUUACAGCAUUUAUAUUAUAUGCUAACUAUAUCUUCUCCUAUAUUUAAGCUACUGGAAAGUUAAAAUAGAAUUGAAGUCUAUCUCUAGUAUACGAGUUUAUCACAAUAUCAGUUUGCAAGUUAUCUUGAAUAUGCCUCCUAUAUCUUCCUGAUUCAACAGUUUGAAAGUUAUCUCCAAUAAAGAUAAGCAUGUCUUAUCCCUGCAAAAGAGAGAGAGUUUUCUAAAUGGCAGGAGACAGACACUUAAUGACUCCAUUUUCACAAGUGGAACAUGUCUCUAGAAAUGCUUACUCACAGUCCAUUCUUGCAAAUGGUUGCAUAUCUCCAUGAAUCCUCAACAAAAUAUAGCAUCAUGAGUUGAAGAGUAAUGUCCCAUUGUAACCUAUAAAGAAUUAGUUAAUUACCUUGUAAACAGGGCCAAAUCCACCCUCCCCAAGCUUAUUUUCAAAUGCAAACUGGUCUGUAGCUUUCUCAAUAUCUGCCAAACUAUAUUCUAUCAGAUCAGGAUUAUUGUCUGUCGAAGUCGCCUGCUGCUGCCGCAUUAUUUACUUUCAACUUUGUUUCUUUACUCUUUGAUUUGAGGAUUCUAAUUCUUAUGAAAUAAAAUGCCAAGCCCAGUAGAAUAAUAACAGCAGCAGUUGUUGUCAAGAUGAUAAUCAAUAUACGGGAUUUUGGUCGUCCUUCGUGUUUGGGGUCAACCCCUCCACCUGAGUCAACCCCCCCAGCUGAGGACAUAGACAUAUUAUGUGAAUUAGCGAUCAGAAUUGUCUGUGUCCAGUAAAUUUUAAAAGAUUAUUCAAGGAUGAUAAAAGAUUAUUCAAGAAAGAUUUAAAACAAAAUGAUGCAGAUGUUUUGCAUAAAAAAAUGUAAUCACAGAUUAUUCAAGGAUGAUAAAUCAUUAUUUUUUGGCAGCCAGAUGGUACCAAUUGUCGAAUUUAUAUAGGCAGACAAUAUCCAACCAUCUAAACACACAAAAGAUUAAAAAAACUGCAAGUAGGUACACAAUCCUGCAUUAUAUAUGACAAGCCUUAAUGACAAAUAGCUGAUGAUGGCCUUUUGGUUUUACCCUGAAGCAAGUAGGAAUUCAUAAGAAUUCAGAUAAAAAGAAUAUCUGGCAAGAUUCUCUAUAUAUUGCACAUUAACAAUCAAAUUAAUCAAUCAAGGCCAACCUCUUGACAUCAUUGUUAUCACGAUGGUCAAAGAACCAUUUUGUGGCUUAAGAACAUUCCCAUACCUGCUUGAGAGAGUACCCAGUUGUCAUCUUGAGAGACUUCCCAUACAACAUAUCCCAGGAGGGCCUUCUCCUUGGCAUAAGAAACCUUAGUUCUAACAACAUCAACACCAUCAAAACUAAUCCAAGUUGACCCUACGAUGCCGUAAUUUACCACAUAAGUGGAAUUGUAGAUAGGAUCAACUCUUCCGUUUGCUUUGAAAUAAUUAUUGAUAACUUUAUAGCUCAUGGAUCCAUCUUCUGUAACGGCUGGUCCAGUUGCUGGUGCGCCAAUGGCAUUUUCAUUCGGGCUUGCAAGUUUCCACGCAUAACCAUAGAAAGGCAAACCUAAAACCAACUUACUAGCCGGUAAUCCUCCAUUAAUCCAUGCUCUUAUUCCAAAAUCAGUGUUAACAUCACUAUCAGGAUCAUACAAAGCUGCAAAAGCAGCCGUGAAGUUAGCCCAUGUAGGCAUGAAGUAGUCAAAAGCCAGCACAUGAGUCCAAUUCAAAUUCUUCCGUAUAGAGUCUAUAGGGAAACUCCCGGAAUCCAGUCUUGGCGAGUACUGAACGGCUGCUGUCAGGAUGAGUUCUGACAGGCUAGAGUUUCUUCCCUCCAAAGCAAUAGCAGCACGCCACUCUUCGAAGAGGGUACCCAUACUGUCCAUGUUAUCGCUUGUGCUGGCCGAAACCCAGCUGAAGUCUAGCCCUUGAAAGCCAUAAUGCCUCGCUAUUUUUAUUGAGUCAUCUAUGAAAAACUUCCUGUAAGUAGAAUUGCCUGCCAUUGCAGAGAGUGUUGAAUAGUUUGUGCUUCCUCCUCCAAUGGAUAGUAAGGUAGUGAUCGAUGGAUUCUUCUGUUUUACGGUGUUUGUGAAGGCAGAGAAGAGUGGGUCAUCUGAGGAGGAGAUAGACAGGUGAUACGAAGAUGAAUUAAGGCCAGCAAAAGCACAAAUAAGGUGAGUAUAGAGGGUAGAAUUUAUGUCAGAAAUUGGGAGGUCACUGCCAGAAAACCAAUAGCCAGCUUUGAUCCAUGCUUGUGCUUUUGCAGGAUGCAAUUUUAAAGAGAGAAAUACAUGAAAGAGGAUGAUGAUAGUAAUUCUCGAUACCAUUGGAGCUUGCUUGAUAAAAAUACAAGGAAGGCAAAUGUACAAAGACAAAAGCAUGUAAAUGUUCCAGUCAGGACUCGGUUCUCAGUGCCACCGUUACCGCGUUCCCGUAUGUCACGGUUCCGCCAUGCUUUUUUAUUUUAUUUUUUAAAAACAUUUAAAUUAGUAUUUUUUUAAAUGUUUUUUAAUUGUCUUAAUUUAUUGAUUUCAAUAAUAAAAACAUUUUUAAAAAAAAAUAUUAUUUUAAUAUAUUUUAAAAUAAAAAAUAUUUUAAAAAAUAAUAUUUACUAAACUAUCAAACUUGCUUUAAACUAGACUCCAUUAAAACUUUGUAUUUUCUAUUUUAAAAAAUAAAAUAAUUUUAGUUUUAUUUUAAAAUAAAAAUUUUAAAAAAUGUUGUUAACUCAAAUGAAACUUAAUUAAGACACCUCAAUCGUUACCAAAUCGUUUUAGAAACUUGAAAUUGUAAUAACGGUGAUAGUUUAAAAUAUUUUUUGUUUAAAAAUAUAUCAAAAUAAAAAAAAAUAUUUUUUAAAAAAUAUUUUUGACAUUAGUAUAUUAAAAUAAUUUUAAAAAAUAUAAAAAAAAAUUUAAAUAUAAAUAAUUUUAAAAAUAUAGGUGUAUUCAGGAUGCAAUUUCAAUUUUAAAAUAUAAUUUCGAUAGAAAUAAUAGUUUUUCAAAAAUGUAUUAAUGAUAAUAAUAUUUUUUAAUUUUACCCUUCAAAUUAAAUCUAUGGUUGCUUUUCAAUAUUGAUAAUAAUAUUUUUCAAAUUUAUUGAUUAUUUUAUUAAUAAUAUUAUUUAAAAUACAAAUAAAAAUGUUUUUAAUAAUAAAAAUAAGAAUAUUUAUAGAACAAAUAAUAAUAUUUUUUAUAUUAAUACUUUUAAUUAUAAUACAAAUAAUAAUAUUUAGAAAUUUAAGACUCAAGAACCUUGGAUCCUAACACUGCACCCAAGAGAAUUGAAUCUUGAUGCAGGACCCAUUAGUCUUAGGUCGUGACAACAGACCCAACAGAAUUAGAUCCUGACAAUGAAUCCAAGAGAAUUAGGUCCUGAAAAAGCACAUAAGAGAAUUGUGUACCGCGAUCGUGGCUGCAGACCCAAGGUGCAUGGGUCUUGUCAUAAUGACCAAUGCAUGGUAACCCCAGCGCCAGGUGUCUACACCCUCAGGCAUGCUAAGAUACAGGGCCCAACAUUGUUGGGUCCUAAUUUUAAGGCAGGCCUAAAAAAUGUGCGUCCUUCUCGAGGUCGGGCCUAAAAUUGUUGAACGCAACUAGGACCUUCUGCUAAGGCAAGCCCAUAACACAUUAGCUUUAAGUCUUGUAACCAAGCAGGAUCCAAUAACGUUAGGCCUCAUUGUCCUAUUGGAUAUAAGAUCCAUGGCUAUUGGGUUCGGUUGUGUAUCAGCACCCAACACUAUUGGUUCCUACUGGGCACCCAACACUAUUGGUUCCUACUGGGCAGCAAUUCCUACCUCCAGCAGGAAAUUUAAAUUUUAAAAAAUAUGUUGAGAUAAUUUUUUUAUUUUUUAAAAUAUAUUUUUUAUAUCAUCAAAUACAAAUAAUACAAAAACAUCAAAAAAAUAUUAAUUUAAAUUAAAUAAAAAUGUUAAAAAAUUGAAAAAACUUUAAGCAUUUUUUAAUCGAAAAAACAAACAUUCUUUAAUAAAAAAAUUCAACCCAACCUGAAAUGAAAAACAAUUAUCAUAACCCAUCUUUUGCACAAUAUAAAAAAAAGUCUCAUUAAUUUAUUUCUUCUUUACCGUAUGAAAAAUAAAAUUAAAUCAGAGAAAAGAGAAGAAACCUUAGACCCAGUUAUAUUGGAAAUAUCCUAAAAUAUUUUUUAAAAAAAACAUGUAUUGAGAUGAUAUUUUUUUUUUGUAAAAUCUAUUUUUUAUAUCAUCACAUCAAAAUAAUACAAAAACAUCCAAAAAUAUUUAUUUGAAGUAAAGAAAAAAAAUACCAAAUUCUUUUUAAAUAUUUUUUGAAAAGCAAAAACAAACAUGUUUUAAUAAAAAACUUCAACCCAACCUCAAAUGAAAACUAUUAUCACCAGCCAACUUUUGUACAAUAUCAAAAAAGUCUCAUCAAUUUAUUUCCUCUUUACAGCAUGGAAAAAAAAUUAAAUAAGAAAAAUAAUUUAAAGAUAAAAAAAAUAAAAUUGAAAAUAUCUUAAAGAUGAAAAAAAAUUGGAAAUCCUAAACCCAAUGAUAUUGCCAAGCCAGACCCAAUAUAUGAAAAAACAAAUUAGAAAUAUCUUAAAAUAUUUUUGUAAGAAAAUAUAAUGAAAUAAUAUUUUUUAUUUUGUAAAAUCUAUUUUUUUAUAUCUUCACAUAAAAAUAAAAAAAAACAUCAAAAAAAUAUUAAUUUGAAUUAAAGAAAAAGGUUAAAAAUUUUGAAAUGUUUUUUUAAGCAUUUUUUAAACGAAAAAACAAACUUGUUUUAAUAAGGAAGUUUAACCCUACCUUAAAUGAAAAAAAAUUAUCAUCACCUAACUUUUGUACAAUAUAAAAAAUAUCUCACCAAUUUUAUUUUUUUUACCAUAUGAAAAAAAAAAUUAGAGAAAAAAAAAUCACAAACUAAAUAUCCUUGGGUAUGGUUGCGCAGCCACACCCAAGGAUAUUGGGUCCGGCUGCCCAACCAGGCCCAAGAUUGAUAUAUCUUUUGGAAUUGAUUUGGGUCCAGCUGGCCAACCAGACCCAACAUUAUUAUGUUAUAUUAGGCAAGAAGAUCCAAUGUUAUUGACACCUUUUGGAAGUGUUUUGGGUCUAGCUUAGUAGCUGGUUGUAGGGUCCAGCGGCCAAGUCAUACCCAACAACUUUUGGUAGAGAAGGUAAUGCCCCUAGCCGUAAUUCUUAACUAAAAAUGCAACUUCUUGACCAUUUAGAGUGCUAUAGUGUCGUCUGCAGUACAAUGUAUUUGUAUCCACAAUAAAUGCAUAAUACCCCCCCCCCCCGUGUUUUAAUACAUAGCAAAACCCAAACAAUGCAAUACACAAUGAAAUCACUCACAAUCUACAAUAAUUCACUAAUCUUUUUUAGGUUUUUUUAUAAUAUGAACACAUGUAAGUUGUGUGUGGAAAUUUAUGCUAUUUGAUUUUGCUAGUAUCAUAUCAGACCUAAUAAAGCUAUAAAGAUCACAGGGAAUAUUAUAGAAGAAAUUAUUUCUAGAGAUCCCUGUAGAUCAUUCAUAAUGUAUUCUACGACCUUCACUUUUCAGAUUGUAUCAGCUUCCUCUUUAAUAAAUAUCUUAUGGGGUUGUAAAUCUUCUCUUAAAUGAAUGCUUGCACAAAGUCUUUUAGAGAUCCCUAACGGUGUUGUUAGAAGACCCUUCAAAGAUCAAGUCAGUACGAUGUAUUUUGUAUGAUAAAAAGAUAUUAGUAAAGGUAUUAAUGAGCUUUUGUAAAGAUAGAAAAGAAAAAGGAGAAGAAGAUGUAGAUGUAAGGGAAGAAGAGAAUAAAUGUGUUCAUGUCUAAGAGCAUAAGGUUUCGAACCUCUUUUUUGUGUACUCAAGCUUCCUUUUAUACUACAUGUCUUGACUUGCUUCAUACGAUAUGUUAGGGGUAGAAAUGUAAUCUCGUAAUGAUAGAAUAAUAUUAUUAUAUUGUUGAAACUAUCACAUCUCAUUAAUAUAAGCAUGAACUACUUGUUCAUAAUUAAUUGGAUGUGAUGAGUAUCAUAAUCACUAGCCCAAACCUAGAGUAAGGGAGGCUUAGAGUGAUGUUACUUUUCAGCUAUACACUAAACUUAGAUGCAUUUGGGUUCAGUUUGUACAUUCAACUCAAGUGUAUUCGGGUUCAGCAGUACGCCAAAUUCAAUAGGAGUUGGGCUCAGCAUGACGUUGAACCCAAGAGGAAUUGGAUUCAGCGGUACGACGAUCUCAAUAGGAGUUGGGUUCAGCUUUAACCCGAACCCAAGAGAAAUUGGGUCCAAUUAUACACUGAACCCAAGAGGAAUUAGGCGCAUACAUGCCUCAUCCCAACUAGAGUUGGGCGUGAACUUGUCCUAACUCAACUUAGAGUUGGACGUGGAUGCAUCCGGGCCCAACUUUAAGUUAGGCAUGAACAUGUCACAGCUCAAUUUAGAGUUGAAGCUAAACGUAUUCUGCUCCAAUACAAGAUUGGGUGUAGAGAAAACAUAACUUAAUUUUAUAUUCAGAUUUUCAUGUGAUGUGAUGGUGGGAGGUUUUUAGAAAACCAUGACCCAUCAAGCCAUAGAGACCAAACAGCACGGCUGAGAGAAAAAGGCAGGCAAUUACGUGGAGAUGGAGUGUGGGGGCCAGGGUCAUAUCAAUUGCAAUUACUUCUUGGUAGGUUUUGUUUUGUUUCUUCAGAUUUCUAGAUUCAACAUUAAAGGUUCUUAUAAGAAAACAUUGCCAGCCCUCUUGUUUUCUUGGUCUAGCUUGGGCUAAAUGUCAAGGAAAGGGGUAGCUGUCUCCCUUAAUUUCUAGACUCAACAUUAAACGUUCUUUUAUAUAUAUAUAUAUAUAUAUAUAUAUAAAAGUCCUAAUUUGGCCCCUUUCAUUGUUCUCCUUUGCAGUUUUCUCAUGAUUUUGAGACAAUUUAAUCGCAAACCAACAUAGAGAUGCAAAAAUAGAAGUGCCCCUAGCUAGAUCAUUUGUAAUUCCAGAAAGGUAAGAAGUUAAAUUUGAAACAGUAAAUCAUUUUAAUUAGUGGCUUAUAUAUCCAUGUUUAAUAACGUACUUAAAUAAUUUUUUAUAAUUAAAUGAAGCCAGGUGAUAUUUUAUAGUACUUUUUUAAAUAAAUAAGUAUUAAUUAUUAAUUGUUUCCAUAAAAAGUAUGAAAUAUUUAUCUUAAAUUAAUUUAUUAUCCUCUAUUUAUAAAUUAGAUGACCACAUGAGAAUUAUUUUUUUUUUUUUUGAAAAAGUGUAGGUUGAAGAAGACUUAAUUUGAUUUGAUCCGACAGAUAUAUGUAACUUUAAACCAUUAAUGUCUUAGAGAUCUACAAAUAUAAUAACUUAAAGUACACAAACUUAUCAUGGCUCAGAUAAUUGCAAUUUUACUACCUGAGACAUUUAUUUUUCUCAUUUCAGUAUAUUGAGUUUUUCAAUUUCACCAAAAAUAGAAUUUUCAAAUUAAAAUUCUUUGGUAAAAAUAAAUUCAAAUUAUGCAGCUCUUUGGUAAGAAGAAGAAGACAGUACUCAAUCAUUCAUUUUUGUCAUUAUCAACACUUAAACCUCCUUGUUGGCCAAUGCAAGAGUUAAUACUAGUUGUUGGCCAAGAAGAAGAUUUUUUUUAAAAUGAGAUGAUCAAAUAUUUUUUUUAAUUUUUUUUAAUUUUUUAUAUAUAUAUAUCUCAUUGUAUGACUAUAUAAACUUUACCUAAUUGAAUGUAAUAUAUAUUAUCAAAUAAUAAUAUCUUUUUUCUAUUUUAAAUUUCUUCUAAUCACAGCUGCAUUUUAUGAUUGCUUAGAGCUAUUGGCAUCAGAUCUUAGCCAUAAUUAUUUUUACUGGAAGUAAUCCAGAAUAUUAGAGCUAUUGGCAUCAGAUCUUGGCCAUAGUUCUAUAAUGGCUGCGUUUUUUUCUUUCAAAUAAGUGACGCAAAUGAGAACAAAAGAAAAAGAAAAACACAAAAAGAAGAAAGAAAGACUUAAAUCAAACUUUGAAAUGUUUACAAAGUUUGAUUUUUGUAUUUUGAGUUGACCUCUAGGAACUUCUAAUUCCAGUCUUUCAAGAUAAGCGACAGGUCAGUUUUUUCUUUUGUAAAUGUUUACAACUCUUUAAAUACAUCAUAAAUCAAACUUUACAAACUUAAAAAAAUCAGAAUCCCAAGUCAAAUAAAAAAUACAAUAUAAAAUCCAGAAUCAAGCUAAAAAUCUAAAAAAAGAAGAAGAAAAUAUAUGGACCAUAGUAACAUAAUUGCCCAGUGGGUAUAGAGUUAUCCCUCCAAAGUUUGUUUCAUCAUCUUCUCAAUUAGCUGACAUCUUUACCAGGCCUCUUGGCAAAGAGGCAUUCUGCUAUAUCCUAGACAAGUUGGGGUCUAUCCAAUCUACAUGCUCCAACUUGAUGGGGAAGUAAUUGGAUUUCUAGAACGGCUACUUCUCUUGAUUCAUGCGGGGGAUCUCGAGCUUUAAUGAGCUUUCCUCACAUGUAAGUCAAUGAUCAUAUCAUCCUGUAAACACCCUUGAUUGUAUACAUCUGGAUUCUUUUCUCUUUUACCUUUGAUACGGGGAUUAUUCCAUGUAAGGAUUGCUAUCUUUACAUAUAAAUAGCUGUUAUAUGAAAUGAAAAUUAAGCCUUUUGGGCUAGCACUUGAUCUAUGAGAACCUACAAUAAAUAUGCAGAAAUUCUUGCCUGGAGAUUCUUGAGCUUCACGAUUCUUGUUCUCCUCUUAUUUUAUUUGCUAAGAGAUCAAGUGAGGAAUCCCGUUAAUUAAUUGUGGCAUCCAAAGAAUGAUAUUGACUUCGAAACAAGUUGGAGAACAAGGAUAAACGACAGUAGGAACUAAAGUUCUGAUGAGGUUACGUCUCAGAAUUUGGCAAUUACAACAGAGCUAGGAAUAUAGUCUUUCCUUUUUGCGCAAGGCUGCUGACUAUACAUCAAACACGAGAAAAACCAUGUUCAUAUUUAUCAUUUUUAUUUUGUUGAGAAUAAAGUUUCAUAUCAAGUAGUUUUAUUAACAAAGAAAUAGCAGUUUCCAACUUUCACCCUUGCCUUUUUGUCUACAUUGGAUCAGCAGAAGCCGUUUUCCUUGACUCCUGCCCGGCAUAAAAAACAUGGAAAUCACAGACCUUCACAAUACCUUUCAUUGUUCGUGCAGGAAAAAAAAAUCUAAAUAGAAAGAAACAAUUUUAACCAAGAAGUUUGACACAUGACCAAGGGUAAGUCACGUACGGUCACCUUGAUAAAAGCAGAGAAAACAGAGAAAUAACCCUUCUCAGUUCUCACCCUACCCUAUCUCUAUCUAACCAAAAAAUCGAGACAGCUUCUUCUUCUUUUUGUAGAAAAUCUUAUUGCACCAUUGCUUAAUGCAUACGGCAAGGAAUAUGAGGCUGAUUGGUCAGAUUAACCAAAUUUGUUUUGUUGCCACGCACAACAUCCUAUUCAAUCUUCGUGGUUUUGUUUUUCCUUGGAGAAGAAAUGCCCUUAAUUUUCCUUUUCUAGUUUGCUACUUUCCUUACGACUAUUCCCUUAAUGUUAUUGAGAUAGAAAGGGAGGGAACUUCUGAGAAGAUAUACAUGCUAUUAUGGUUUCAUAUCUACAAGCUGACUUUUGAAACAAUCAUCGAGACGAGUGCUUUUCCCUAAAUGCUGUUCUGAUAAUUGCGAUUGACACUAAAAUGCAGGUUGAUUCUGCUUUGCAUGAAGUAAAAAUGAGGGCUUCUAUCCAAAGCACUGGGUUCUCAUUCCAACUGUUGUAUACAUCUGGUUGUAAAGCUAUAGUAAAUGAUCUUACAUUGAUGUGAGCUAUGGACCCUUUUUGUUAGCCAACAAUCAUUAAGAUACAAAAGAACAGGAUCUAUCAUAAUAACUUAGAAAGAAUACAUACAAUUAGUUCAACCAGGAAGAAAAAAGGAGAGCUCUUGAGUUCUGUUCAUGAAAGCCUUUACUUCAGCGAGGUUCCAAGUCAGAUAUUGUUGCGUCAUUCACAGAAUAAAUUUUAUUCCUGAGAACACUGUCCUCCUCUUCAUCUCUUUUGGUUGAAAAAGAAGGCCUUUUUGGAGUGGCGAUAGGUGCAUUUUCAUUUUUUAGCAUCGAAGAAAUUUUUAACAUAGAUGGCCUGUCCAAAGGAUUUUCUUGGACGCAUAAUAGAGCAACUUGCAGGCAUCUUGUGAGUUUACAUGAUGAAAAGGAAUCGUCUAGCGAUGGAUCGAAAAACUCCACGCCUUCACCAUCUUUCCAUAAUUCAUAUGCCUGAAACAAUUUGAUAACCAUAUUGGUAUUCAAAUGCGGACUAUGGGAGAAAAAAAGUGAAUUAUGCAUUCAUAUAUUGGAAAAGAUGUGACUGAUCACUUACAUAUUCAAGAAGGUUCCAGUUUUCGUCUGCACCAUAGUAACAUGUACUCCUCUUGCCACUUAUGAUUUGCAGGAGAAGAACUCCAAAGCUGUAAACAUCAUAUUUCAUGGAGUAUAUGCCUUUUCUUACAUAUUCAGGGGGGACAUAACCACUGCAAUUCAAAAAAUAAAUAAGAAUGAGAAGAUUUAGCAAACAGUUCAUGUCGAAAUAUAUACCACUUUGAGACAAUUUCCUUACUAUGUUCCAACUAUCCUGCUUGUGUUUGCUUCGAGUUCAUCUUUCCUGAAGAGCCUAGCCAUACCAAAGUCUGAUAUCUUAGGGUUCAUUUCCUCAUCCAAUAGAACGUUGCUACUCUUUAUGUCUCGAUGAAUAAUGGUAAAAUUUGAGUAUUCUUGGAGAUAUAGAAGCCCUUGAGUAAGACCUUCAAUGAUUGAACGCGUUUUCUCCAAUCUAACAUGUAUCUUCUGACUGGAUCUACAUCGAAGUAGACCUUAAACAAUUAUUCGAGGUACAUUUAGAAGGUUGGCCAAACUAAGCUAGAGAAAAAGAUUCUACUGACCAUAGAUGUAGAAAUCCAAGCUCUUGUUCGGCAUGUACUCGUAGAUCAGCAUCUUUUCUUCCCUCUCGGUGCAAAAUCCCAAAACUGUAACUAUAUUCACAUGUUGAAGUUUUUCUGUAAGUGUGACCUCAUUUUUGAACUCCUCUUCACCUUGAGUCGAAGUUUUUGAUAGUCUCUUCACUGCUAUUUCCUUUCCGUUUGGUAGUUUACCCUGGCAAAGCAAAUGCCUCAAGCUGUCAUGUUUUCGUCCUUUCAAAGUCAUUCAAGACAAUUACUUGCCAAUAUUCUGUACCCUCGACAUCCUUCUUUCGUAUAGAAUAUAAACAUACAGCUUAUAUGUAAUUAGUGUUCUGCAGUGAAAGAAUCAGAACGCAUUUAUAUUUUGCCAAAUUUAUUUACCUUGUAGACAGAGCCAAAUCCACCUACUCCAAGUUUUUUUCACUCGAAAAGUUAUUAGUAGCCGCAGCAAUCGUAUCAAAACUGAGUGCUUGCAGAUUUGGAGCAUCGCUAUUAAUAGCUCUAGUAGCAGAUACUUUGAUUUUCACUGCAGAUAGUGAUUUUUGGACACUCCCAGCAAUUUCUGUUACCAUGAAACAAAUCAAAGAACUAACUGUAUCUUAAUCCUGUUGUAAUAAUUGCUGAACCAACUCAAAAUUUUGGUUAAUAUAUUUGGAAAAUUGUCACAACGGGAAGAUGUUACCUUUUGAGCCGAGUUUUUUCCUUCUAAAGUAACAACAAAUUAUGGUGCCCAACACGAGAAAGACCACAGCAAUCGUAACCAGAAUAGGUACCAAUACCUUCCUCUUGUUCAGCCCAUCUUCAUCUUUUCCCUGAGCUGCGAGCAUUUAUCAUCAUUAAGUAUUGUUUUAUGAUAUCUUUCUAUUGCAGUGAAAGCUCAUUUACUCUAUAAAACACACCUCACAGAACUUAGUAUUGCAGGGGAUGGCAUUUGAUAAUUCAAAAGCAAUUGAAACAUCUCUAGUCCGGUGUUUUUUUUAAAAUAAAGAGGAUAAAAUGGGGGAUCGAAAUUUCCACGAACAACCUACCUGCUCGAGAAAGAAUCCAAUUAUCGUCAUUGGAGAGCUGAAAUACGCUGUAACCACUAAGAUUGUUUUCCUUUGCAUAAGAAAUCUUAGCCUUGAUAGUCUCCACAUCAUCAAAAUUGAUCCAAAUCGACCCAACAACGACAAGCUUCGUAACAUAGGUAGAAUUGUACACUGCUGCAGCUCCAUAGCCAUAACCUUGAAUGAAAGAUUUAAUAUUCUUAUAACCCAUGGAACCAUCACGUGUUACAGCUGGACCCGAGGAGGGUGCCCCAAACUCUUUUUCGUUGGGGUUCACCAGUGUCCAUGCAUAACCAUGGUAAGGCAAACCCAAAACCAGUUUGCUAGCAGAUAAUCCUCCUCUUAGCCAUUCCUUUAUCCAUUCAUCGGUGUUAACCCAAUUUGAAGUGCCAUAUAAAGCAGCAUGUGCACCAGUAAAAUUAAAUUCUGCAGGCACAUGAUAGUCAUAUGCAACAAGAUGUAUCCAAUCUAAGGUCCUUUUCAUGAUGUCAAUAGGAUAAGUAGCCGAGUGCUGAGCAGGCGAGUAAGUAGCUGACAUUACCAAGAGCAACUGUGACUUGCCAGAUUUUCUUGAAUCAGAAGCUAUAGCGUCUCGCCACUCAUCGAAAAGGAUUCCUAGAUUGGUCAUGUUGAUGCUCAUACUUGGCCCAACCGAAAGGUCUAGGCCAUCAAAACCAUAAAGCCUCGCUGUAUAUAUCGAGGACUCGAUAAAAGACUUUCUAUAAGAAGACUGAUUUAUCAUUGAGGAAAAAGUUGGAAGACCCCCUCUCCUAGCCAAGAUGGAUAGAAGGGUUUUAACUGAAGGGUUCUUAACCCUGACAGUGCCUGUGAAGGUGGAGAAGUAGGAUUCUUUGGAAGAGUUAAUAUGAAUAUGAUAAGUAGAAGAAUUUAUACGAGAAAAGGCACAUACAAGGUGAGUAAAAAGAGCAGAAUUGAUAUUAGAAACGGGCAUUUCACUGAAGGAAUCCCAGUAACCUGCUCUAAUCCAGGUUUCUUGGGAGUUUGAGCUGUGAACAUAGGAAGAUAGAAAGAGAAGGAGGGUGAUGAUCAUAGUGUUGCAAGUCAUUGAAGAAGAAGCUUACUUUCGCAACCCCAGCAGGACUCCUAAUCUGUAUCCGUGAGAAGUGAAACUCUUGGAUCUGGGGCCUCGCAUUUUUCUGAA